GUGAAUUAAACAUGCUCGGUGUCUUCGCUUCGGCAAGGCCCUUGCUUAAAUCACAUCCUAACACCUGUGAACUGUAAGACGUAUGAUGAGGUCUUUGGCCAAGUCAUCGUCUGCCCAUCUUUAACAAACAAUUAAUGUAACAAACGUAGUCUCAUUAUAACCUAAUA
RNAcentral lists this unclassified non-coding RNA (167 nucleotides) under soil metagenome. Its description in RNAcentral is "partial internal transcribed spacer 1". The record is from RNAcentral.